RNAcentral lists this ribosomal RNA (489 nucleotides) under uncultured bacterium. RNAcentral's name for it is "partial 16S ribosomal RNA". It matches the Rfam family "Bacterial small subunit ribosomal RNA", at positions 30 to 506 of the family's 1533-position model. The record is from RNAcentral.
AUUGAACGCUGGCGGCAGGCCUAGCACAUGCAAGUCGAACGGUAACAGGAAGAAGCUUGCUUCUUUGCUGACGAGUGGCGGACGGGUGAGUAAUGUCUGGGAAACUGCCUGAUGGAGGGGGAUAACUACUGGAAACGGUAGCUAAUACCGCAUAACGUCGCAAGACCAAAGAGGGGGAACUUCGGGCCUCUUGCCAUCGGAUGUGCCCAGAUGGGAUUAGCUAGUAGGUGGGGUAACGGCUCACCUAGGCGACGAUCCCUAGCUGGUCUGAGAGGAUGACCAGCCACACUGGAACUGAGACACGGUCCAGACUCCUACGGGAGGCAGCAGUGGGGAAUAUUGCACAAUGGGCGCAAGCCUGAUGCAGCCAUGCCGCGUGUAUGAAGAAGGCCUUCGGGUUGUAAAGUACUUUCAGCGGGGAGGAAGGGAGUAAAGUUAAUACCUUUACUCAUUGACGUUACCCGCAGAAGAAGCACCGGCUAACUCCGU